GAUGAACGCUGACAGAAUGCUUAACACAUGCAAGUCUACCUGAAAUUCGGUGUGGGUGGCGGACGGGUGAGUAACGCGUAAAGAACUUGCCUCACAGGUAGGGACAACAAUUGGAAACGAAUGAUAAUACCUGAUAGGAGGAUUUUAGGGCAUACUAGGAUUAUGAAAGCUAUAUGUGCUGUAAGAGAGCUUUGCGUCCAAUUAGCUAGGUGGAGAGGUAACGUCUCACCAAGGCGAUGAUGGGUAGCCGGCCUGGGAGGGUGAACGGCCCCAAGGGAACGGGGACACGGCCAUUACUCCUACGGGAGGAAGGAGUGGGAAAUUUUCGACACUGGACCAAAAGUCUGAUCCAGCACUUCUGUGUGCACGAUGACGUUUUUCGGAAUGUAAAGUGCUUUCAGUUGGGAAGAAAAAAAUGACGGUACCAACAGAAGAAGUGACGGCUAAAUACGUG
RNAcentral lists this ribosomal RNA (454 nucleotides) under uncultured bacterium. RNAcentral's name for it is "partial 16S ribosomal RNA". It matches the Rfam family "Bacterial small subunit ribosomal RNA", at positions 28 to 507 of the family's 1533-position model. The record is from RNAcentral.